UGAUAUUGAUUAGACGUACUAAAAAAUUUUGUUUCACAUAAUGAAAAUUGAUGCAUAUUCCUACUCCAAAAUGAGUACAAUUUAUCUGCCAUGUCUACAAAAUGGAUACAGUUUAUCUGCCAUGUCUACCAAAUGGAUACUAUUUAUGUGCCACAUAAGGCAAUUAGCCAUUGCCACUAACUGUACAAUAUUACAUAUCACCAUGUACAACAUGGCCG
RNAcentral lists this long non-coding RNA (218 nucleotides) under Prunus persica (peach). RNAcentral's name for it is "long non-coding RNA (PPER_LNC000836)". The record is from RNAcentral. Lineage: Eukaryota; Viridiplantae; Streptophyta; Magnoliopsida; Rosales; Rosaceae.